RNAcentral lists this ribosomal RNA (468 nucleotides) under uncultured bacterium. RNAcentral's name for it is "partial 16S ribosomal RNA". It matches the Rfam family "Bacterial small subunit ribosomal RNA", at positions 28 to 507 of the family's 1533-position model. The record is from RNAcentral.
GACGAACGCUGGCGGCGUGCUUAACACAUGCAAGUCGAACGGAAAGGCCCUGCUUUUGUGGGGUGCUCGAGUGGCGAACGGGUGAGUAACACGUGAGUAACCUGCCCUUGACUUUGGGAUAACUUCAGGAAACUGGGGCUAAUACCGGAUAGGAGCUCCUGCUUCAUGGUGGGGGUUGGAAAGUUUCGGCGGUUGGGGAUGGACUCGCGGCUUAUCAGCUUGUUGGUGGGGUAGGGGCUUACCAAGGCUUUGACGGGUAGCCGGGCUGAGAGGGUAACCGGACAAAAUGGGAAGGAGAUGAGGCCCAGACUACUAAGGGAGGGAAGAGGGGGGAAUAAUGUAAAAUGGGCGGGAGGCUGGAGCAAGAAAGCAGGGGGGGGGAAGAAGGGCAGUGGGUUGGAAAACGAAGUUGCCUGGGACGGAAGGGGAAUGACGGUAAAGGGUGAAGAAGCACCGGCUAACUACGUG